This 900-nucleotide ribosomal RNA is filed under the name uncultured Parabacteroides sp. RNAcentral's name for it is "bacterial SSU rRNA". It matches the Rfam family "Bacterial small subunit ribosomal RNA", at positions 521 to 1423 of the family's 1533-position model. Lineage: Bacteria; Pseudomonadati; Bacteroidota; Bacteroidia; Bacteroidales; Tannerellaceae. The record is from RNAcentral.
UAAUACGGAGGAUGCGAGCGUUAUCCGGAUUUAUUGGGUUUAAAGGGUGCGUAGGCUGUUAUAUAAGUCAGUGGUGAAAUAUUCGGGCUCAACCGGGAUACUGCCAUUGAUACUGUAUAGCUGGAAUAUGGUUGCUGUGGGUGGAAUGUGUGGUGUAGCGGUGAAAUGCAUAGAUAUCACACAGAAUAUCGAUUGCGAAGGCAACUCACAAAGCCAUUAUUGACGCUGAUGCACGAAAGUGUGGGGAUCAAACAGGAUUAGAUACCCUGGUAGUCCACACUGUAAACGAUGAUAACUAGCUGUCGGCGAUAGAUAGUCGGUGGCUAAGCGAAAGCGAUAAGUUAUCCACCUGGGGAGUACGACCGCAAGGUUGAAACUCAAAGGAAUUGACGGGGGCCCGCACAAGCGGAGGAACAUGUGGUUUAAUUCGAUGAUACGCGAGGAACCUUACCCGGGCUCGAACGGUGCAGGAAUAUGGUAGAGAUAUCAUAGCUAGCAAUAGUCUGUAUCGAGGUGCUGCAUGGUUGUCGUCAGCUCGUGCCGUGAGGUGUCGGCUUAAGUGCCAUAACGAGCGCAACCCUUGUCGUUAGUUACCAUCAAGUAAAGUUGGGGACUCUAGCGAGACUGCCACCGUAAGGUGUGAGGAAGGGGGGGAUGACGUCAAAUCAACACGGCCCUUACGUCCGGGGCGACACACGUGUUACAAUGGUAGGUACAGAGGGGCGCUAUCCAGUGAUGGAGUGCGAAUCUCAAAAACCUAUCUCAGUUCGGAUUGGAGUCUGCAACUCGACUCCACGAAGUUGGAUUCGCUAGUAAUCGCGCAUCAGCCAUGGCGCGGUGAAUACGUUCCCGGGNCCUUGUACACACCGCCCGUCAAGCCAUGGAAGCNGGGGGUGCCUG